RNAcentral lists this ribosomal RNA (465 nucleotides) under Vreelandella stevensii. Its description in RNAcentral is "partial 16S ribosomal RNA". It matches the Rfam family "Bacterial small subunit ribosomal RNA", at positions 338 to 795 of the family's 1533-position model. Lineage: Bacteria; Pseudomonadati; Pseudomonadota; Gammaproteobacteria; Oceanospirillales; Halomonadaceae. The record is from RNAcentral.
CCUACGGGGGGCAGCAGUGGGGAAUAUUGGACAAUGGGCGAAAGCCUGAUCCAGCCAUGCCGCGUGUGUGAAGAAGGCCUUCGGGUUGUAAAGCACUUUCAGUGGGGAAGAAAGCCUUGGGGCUAAUACCCUCGAGGAAGGACAUCACCCACAGAAGAAGCACCGGCUAACUCCGUGCCAGCAGCCGCGGUAAUACGGAGGGUGCGAGCGUUAAUCGGAAUUACUGGGCGUAAAGCGCGCGUAGGCGGUCUGAUAAGCCGGUUGUGAAAGCCCCGGGCUCAACCUGGGAACGGCAUCCGGAACUGUCAGGGUAGGGGGCAGGAGAGGAAGGGAGAAUUCCCGGUGGAGCGGGGAAAUGCGUAGAGAUCGGGAGGAAUACCAGUGGCGAAGGCGGCCUUCUGGACUGACACUGACGCUGAGGUGCGAAAGCGUGGGUAGCAAACAGGAUUAGAUACCCCUGUAGUC